AUACGGAGGUGGCAAGCGUUACCCGGAAUUACUGGGCGUAAAGGGCGCGUAGGCGGCUUGGUAAGUCUCUUGUGAAAGCUCCCGGCUUAACUGGGAGAGGUCAAGGGAUACUACCAGGCUUGAGGGCAGUAGAGGAAGGCGGAAUUCCCGGUGUAGCGGGGAAAUGCGUAGAUAUCGGGAGGAACACCAGUGGCGAAAGCGGCCUUCUGGGCUGUGCCUGACGCUGAGGCGCGAGAGCGUGGGGAGCAAACAGGAUUAGAUACCCCGGUAGUCC
RNAcentral lists this ribosomal RNA (274 nucleotides) under uncultured bacterium. Its description in RNAcentral is "partial 16S ribosomal RNA". It matches the Rfam family "Bacterial small subunit ribosomal RNA", at positions 523 to 796 of the family's 1533-position model. The record is from RNAcentral.